UCAGACAAAGCUAAACCUGUCGCGAGGCAGGGGCGGAAAGCCGCGGAUCUCAAUGAGAAAGCCGGGCUGCCUCAU
Molecule: non-coding RNA, 75 nt
Filed under: Candidatus Moduliflexus flocculans
Lineage: Bacteria; Candidatus Moduliflexota; Candidatus Moduliflexia; Candidatus Moduliflexales; Candidatus Moduliflexaceae
Description: Bacterium UASB14 c-di-GMP sequence
Rfam family: c-di-GMP-I-GGC riboswitch aptamer
Source: Rfam by way of RNAcentral